This 471-nucleotide ribosomal RNA is filed under the name Escherichia coli. RNAcentral's name for it is "bacterial LSU rRNA". It matches the Rfam family "Bacterial large subunit ribosomal RNA", at positions 712 to 1180 of the family's 2925-position model. Lineage: Bacteria; Pseudomonadati; Pseudomonadota; Gammaproteobacteria; Enterobacterales; Enterobacteriaceae. The record is from RNAcentral.
GACCCGAAACCCGGUGAUCUAGCCAUGGGCAGGUUGAAGGUUGGGUAACACUAACUGGAGGACCGAACCGACUAAUGUUGAAAAAUUAGCGGAUGACUUGUGGCUGGGGGGGAAAGGCCAAUCAAACCGGGAGAUAGCUGGUUCUCCCCGAAAGCUAUUUAGGUAGCGCCUCGUGAACUCAUCUCCGGGGGUAGAGCACUGUUUCGGCAAGGGGGUCAUCCCGACUUACCAACCCGAUGCAAACUGCGAAUACCGGAGAAUGUUAUCACGGGAGACACACGGCGGGUGCUAACGUCCGUCGUGAAGAGGGAAACAACCCAGACCGCCAGCUAAGGUCCCAAAGUCAUGGUUAAGUGGGAAACGAUGUGGGAAGGCCCAGACAGCCAGGAUGUUGGCUUAGAAGCAGCCAUCAUUUAAAGAAAGCGUAAUAGCUCACUGGUCGAGUCGGCCUGCGCGGAAGAUGUAACGGGG